CCCCUAGAUGUUCUGGGCCGCACGCGCGCUACACUGAACAGUUCAACAAGUCUUAACCUUGGCCGAUAGGUCUGGGUAAUCUUUGAACGCUGUUCGUGAUUGGGAUAGACCUUUGCAAUUAUGGGUCUUCAACGAGGAAUUCCUAGUAAACGCAAGUCAUCAGCUUGCAUUGAUUACGUCCCUGCCCUUUGUACACACCGCCCGUCGCACCUACCGAUUGAAUGGUCCGGUGAGGCCCCCGGAAUGUGGCAACGGCUUUGGUUCGCCAAACUGAUGCUGCGUGAAGCUGUCCAAACCUUNUNAUUUAUNGGAAGGUGAANUCGUANCA
RNAcentral lists this ribosomal RNA (328 nucleotides) under uncultured eukaryote. RNAcentral's name for it is "partial 18S ribosomal RNA". It matches the Rfam family "Eukaryotic small subunit ribosomal RNA", at positions 1470 to 1796 of the family's 1831-position model. The record is from RNAcentral.